AACGAACGCUGGCGGCAUGCCUAACACAUGCAAGUCGAACGAGACCUCCGGGCUUAGUGGCGCACGGGUGGGUAACGCGUGGGAACUUGCCCGUAGGUUAGGAAUAACUGCCCGAAAGGGGUGCUAAUACCGGUUAAUGUCAUCGGACCAAAGAUUUAUUGCCGUUGGAUGGGCGCGGGUUGGAUUAGCCAGUUGGUAGGGUAAAAGCCUAUCAAGGCGACGAUCCUGAGCUGGUCUGAGAGGAUGAUCAGCCACGCUGGAACUAAGACACGGCCCAGACUCCUACGGAAGGCAGCAGUGGGGAAUAUUGGACGAUGGACGAAAGCCUAAUCCAGCAAUGCCGCGUAAGUGAUGAAGGCCUUAGGGUUGUAAAGCUCUUUUACCCGGGAUGAUAGUGACGGUACCGGGAGAAUAAGCUCCGGCUAACUCCGUG
RNAcentral lists this ribosomal RNA (433 nucleotides) under uncultured bacterium. RNAcentral describes it as "partial 16S ribosomal RNA". It matches the Rfam family "Bacterial small subunit ribosomal RNA", at positions 29 to 507 of the family's 1533-position model. The record is from RNAcentral.